Molecule: ribosomal RNA, 253 nt
Filed under: uncultured bacterium
Lineage: Bacteria
Description: partial 16S ribosomal RNA
Rfam family: Bacterial small subunit ribosomal RNA
Source: RNAcentral
UACAGAGGGGGCGAGCGUUGUUCGGAAUUACUGGGCGUAAAGGGCGCGUAGGCGGCCCGCUAAGUCGAACGUGAAAUCCCCAGGCUCAACCUGGGAACUGCGUCCGAUACUGGCAGGCUUGAAUCCGGGAGAGGGAUGUGGAAUUCCAGGUGUAGCGGUGAAAUGCGUAGAUAUCUGGAGGAACACCGGUGGCGAAGGCGGCAUCCUGGACCGGCAUUGACGCUGAUGAGCGAAAGCCAGGGGAGCAAACGGG